Molecule: ribosomal RNA, 492 nt
Filed under: uncultured bacterium
Lineage: Bacteria
Description: partial 16S ribosomal RNA
Rfam family: Bacterial small subunit ribosomal RNA
Source: RNAcentral
AGUGAACGCUGGCGGUAGGCUUAACACAUGCAAGUCGAACGGCAGCACAGUAAGAGUUUGCUCUUACGGGUGGCGAGUGGCGGACGGGUGAGGAAUACAUCGGAAUCUACUUUUUCGUGGGGGAUAACGUAGGGAAACUUACGCUAAUACCGCAUACGACCUACGGGUGAAAGCAGGGGAUCUUUGGACCUUGCGCGAUUGAAUGAGCCGAUGUCGGAUUAGCUAGUUGGCGGGGUAAAGGCCCACCAAGGCGACGAUCCGUAGCUGGUCUGAGAGGAUGAUCAGCCACACUGGAGCUGGGACACGGUCCAGACUCCUGCGGGAGGCAGCAGUGGGGAAUAUUGGACAAAGGGCGCAAACCUGAUCCAGCCAUACCGCGUGGGUGAAGAAGACCUUCGGGUUGUAAAGCCCUUUUGUUGGGAGAGAAAAGCAGCAGGUUAAUACCCCGCUGUUCUGACGGUACCCAAAGAAUAAGCACCGGCUAACUACGUG